CCUACUAUGCCUCGCCAUAACACAACAAUAAAAUAACUAAUUGUUCGCCAAAUAACUACGAGUAAAAACUUAAAAUUUAAAAGACUUGACGGUACUUCACACCAGCCUAGAGGAGCCUGUCUAAUAACCGAUAACCCACGAUUAACCCAACCUUUUCUAGCCUUACAGUCUAUAUACCGCCGUCGCCAGCUUACCUUAUGAAAGAAACAAAGUAAGCCAAACAGUAUCGCACUAACACGACAGGUCGAGGUGUAACUAAUGAAAAGGAUCAAGAUGGGCUACAUUUCUUAAACCAAGAAAGACGAACAGACUAUGAAACUAGAAACUGAAGGCGGAUUUAGCAGUAAGAUAGGAACAAAAUACCCACCCGAAAUUAAUGCAAUGAAGUGCGCACACACCGCCCGUCAUCCCUGUCAGACAAAAUGAGCCAUUCAUAAACAUCAUAACCCUUAAAACAGGGCAAG
Molecule: ribosomal RNA, 464 nt
Filed under: Duberria lutrix
Lineage: Eukaryota; Metazoa; Chordata; Lepidosauria; Squamata
Description: partial 12S ribosomal RNA
Source: RNAcentral